AAGGUUCGCUUAGCCGCGAUUAAUUGGGAACUGGAGUGUGAAUCUCCGACUGUCCCGCAGCAGUGAACUCCGUUAUGGCUUCCAGACAACAAGGCCAUUGCCCGUUUGGGCGAGAAGGCGUCUGGGAGUGGAGGAAAGUCUGAAGACCAGCCUUUUUCG
This 159-nucleotide non-coding RNA is filed under the name uncultured Prevotella sp. The record is from RNAcentral. Lineage: Bacteria; Pseudomonadati; Bacteroidota; Bacteroidia; Bacteroidales; Prevotellaceae.